Pogoniulus pusillus (Red-fronted tinkerbird) is the source of this 388-nucleotide long non-coding RNA. RefSeq lists it as uncharacterized. The transcript has 4 exons. The record is from RefSeq and is a predicted model, not a curated record. Lineage: Eukaryota; Metazoa; Chordata; Aves; Piciformes; Lybiidae.
GCUGCUGACGCCACCGCCCCUCACCGGCGACGCAGCCUAGGCCUAGAUGUCUCCUACUGCCUCCAUUGCUCGGUCGCUGCCGCAGAGCCUCCCCGUGCCGUGUUUUUCAAACCGUGUACCUGCCAGGAGCAACUUCCCGAUGGUUCUGUGAUGAUUCUAUGAGCUGGAUGUAGGAAAUGGCCAUGGUGGAAGCUGAAAGAGGGAAGGUAUCCAAGAAGGGAUCAAUCAUAGACAUGUGUUGAGGGCUGGUCGAACUCAAGGAGAUGGAAACUACAAGAUUUUGAGCAUGAUACAAAUCAGCCCCUCAUUGGAGAUGAUCUGUCAAAAGAGGAUUCACAACUUCAUGACUCUGUUGGGAGGCUGAGAAACAAACUUGGUGAUAUUAACA